Pollicipes pollicipes is the source of this 442-nucleotide long non-coding RNA. RefSeq lists it as uncharacterized. The transcript has 3 exons. NCBI's taxonomy places the organism in Eukaryota, Metazoa, Arthropoda, Thecostraca, Pollicipedomorpha, Pollicipedidae. The record is from RefSeq and is a predicted model, not a curated record.
CACCUCCGGCGGACAGGCAGUGACUGGAGCCUCUGUGGGCACAUCCGGCAAACAGGCGAAGACCGGAGCCUCUGUGGGCACAUCCGGCAAACAGGCAAAGACCGGAGCCUCUGUGGGCACAUCCGGCGGACAGGCAGUGACUGGAGCCUCUGUGGGCACCUCCGGCGGACAGGCAGUGACCAAAGCCCCUGUGGGCACCUCCGGCGGACAGGCAGUGACCGGAGCCGUGCACGAUGAUUGUCGAUCUGGUGACCGUGAAUUCACGUGGUCGAUAUGGCCUGUCGAGGAACAACUCGCGUCGCGCCAGCUGCCGCCAGUCCUCUGAGGAGAAGGUCACCACCUGCUUCAGCACCAGUUUACCGCGAGCGGGCGGUGGCGGUCGGCCCACCUUCCUGGAGGUGCUCACCAUCCCACCGGAGGAGUUCGCCUCGCAGAUCACGCG